GCUGUGAACAAGUGAGUAGAAGGUUGCUGAG
Molecule: non-coding RNA, 31 nt
Filed under: Homo sapiens (human)
Lineage: Eukaryota; Metazoa; Chordata; Mammalia; Primates; Hominidae
Source: RNAcentral